UGGGGGAUAUUGCACAAUGGGCGAAAGCCUGAUGCAGCGACGCCGCGUGGGGGAUGAAGGCUUUCGGGUUGUAAACCUCUUUCGCUAUCGAACAAGGCCCGCUUAGGGUGGGUUGAGGGUAGGUGGAGAAGAAGCGCCGGCUAACUACGUGCCAGCAGCCGCGGUAAUACGUAGGGCGCGAGCGUUGUCCGGAAUUAUUGGGCGUAAAGGGCUUGUAGGCGGCUUGUUGCGCCUGCUGUGAAAGCGUGGGGCUUAACUUCGCGCGUGCAGUGGGUACGGGCAGGCUUGAGUGUGGUAGGGGUGACUGGAAUUCCAGGUGUAGCGGUGGAAUGCGCAGAUAUCUGGAGGAGCACCGAUGGCGAAGGCAGGUCACUGGGCCAUUACUGACGCUGAGGAGCGAAAGCAUGGGUAGCGAACAGG
RNAcentral lists this ribosomal RNA (420 nucleotides) under bacterium. RNAcentral describes it as "partial 16S ribosomal RNA". It matches the Rfam family "Bacterial small subunit ribosomal RNA", at positions 355 to 776 of the family's 1533-position model. The record is from RNAcentral.